This 495-nucleotide unclassified non-coding RNA is filed under the name uncultured Glomus. RNAcentral's name for it is "SSU rRNA". It matches the Rfam family "Eukaryotic small subunit ribosomal RNA", at positions 569 to 1063 of the family's 1831-position model. Lineage: Eukaryota; Fungi; Glomeromycota; Glomeromycetes; Glomerales; Glomeraceae. The record is from RNAcentral.
AGCAGCCGCGGUAAUUCCAGCUCCAAUAGCGUAUAUUAAAGUUGUUGCAGUUAAAAAGCUCGUAGUUGAAUUUCGGGAUUGACACAUCGGUCGUGCCUUAAGGGGUAUGAACUGGUGUAGUCAAUUUCUCACCUUCUGGAGAACCGCGAUGCCCUUAAUUGGGUGUCGCGGGGAACCAGGACCUUUACUUUGAAAAAUUAGAGUGUUUAAAGCAGGCAUUUUGCUUGAAUACAUUAGCAUGGAAUAAUAAAAUAGGACGGCAUGAUUCUAUUUUGUUGGUUUCUAGGAUCACCGUAAUGAUUAAUAGGGAUAGUUGGGGGCAUUAGUAUUCAAUUGUCAGAGGUGAAAUUCUUGGAUUUAUUGAAGACUAACUACUGCGAAAGCAUUUGCCAAGGAUGUUUUCAUUAAUCAAGAACGAAAGUUAGGGGAUCGAAGACGAUCAGAUACCGUCGUAGUCUUAACCAUAAACUAUGCCGACUAGGAAUCAGACGAUGU